This 635-nucleotide ribosomal RNA is filed under the name uncultured Acetobacterium sp. RNAcentral describes it as "bacterial SSU rRNA". It matches the Rfam family "Bacterial small subunit ribosomal RNA", at positions 66 to 700 of the family's 1533-position model. Lineage: Bacteria; Bacillati; Bacillota; Clostridia; Eubacteriales; Eubacteriaceae. The record is from RNAcentral.
ACGAGACGGGAUGGAAUGACCCUUCGGGGGAAUGAAAUCCUAGAAAGUGGCGAACGGGUGAGUAACGCGUGGGUAACCUGCCCUAUGGAAAGGAAUAGCCUCGGGAAACUGGGAGUAAUGCCUUAUAAUAUACGAGAGUCGCAUGGCUUUUGUAUUAAACGCUCCGGUGCCAUAGGAUGGACCCGCGUCCCAUUAGCUAGUUGGUGAGAUAACAGCCCACCAAGGCAACGAUGGGUAACCGGUCUGAGAGGGCGAACGGUCACACUGGAACUGAGACACGGUCCAGACUCCUACGGGAGGCAGCAGUGGGGAAUAUUGCGCAAUGGGGGCAACCCUGACGCAGCAAUACCGCGUGAGUGAAGAAGGUUUUCGGAUCGUAAAGCUCUGUUAUUGGGGAAGAAAAAAGACGGUACCCAAGAAGAAAGUCCCGGCUAACUACGUGCCAGCAGCCGCGGUAAUACGUAGGGGACAAGCGUUGUCCGGAUUUACUGGGCGUAAAGGGCACGCAGGCGGUUUUUUAAGUCAGAUGUGAAAGGUACCGGCUCAACCGGUGACAUGCAUUUGAAACUGAAAGACUUGAGUAUUGGAGAGGCAAGUGGAAUUCCUAGUGUAGCGGUGAAAUGCGUAGAUAUUAG